GGUGAACGCCGGCGGUGUGCCUAAUACAUGCAAGUCGUACGCACUGGCCCAACUGAUUGAUGGUGCUUGCACCUGAUUGACGAUGGAUCACCAGUGAGUGGCGGACGGGUGAGUAACACGUAGGUAACCUGCCUCAUACGAGGGGGAUAACAGUCAGAAAUGGCUGCUAAUACCGCAUAAGCGCACGAGGGCCGCAUCGGCCCGGUGUAGAAAAACUCCGGUGGUAUAAGAUGGACCCGCGUCUGAUUAGCUGGUUGGUGGGGUAACGGCCCACCAAGGCGACGAUCAGUAGCCGGCCUGAGAGGGUGAACGGCCACAUUGGGACUGAGACACGGCCCAG
Molecule: ribosomal RNA, 340 nt
Filed under: uncultured bacterium
Lineage: Bacteria
Description: bacterial SSU rRNA
Rfam family: Bacterial small subunit ribosomal RNA
Source: RNAcentral